Molecule: ribosomal RNA, 411 nt
Filed under: Klebsiella planticola
Lineage: Bacteria; Pseudomonadati; Pseudomonadota; Gammaproteobacteria; Enterobacterales; Enterobacteriaceae
Description: bacterial SSU rRNA
Rfam family: Bacterial small subunit ribosomal RNA
Source: RNAcentral
AUGCAGCCAUGCCGCGUGUAUGAAGAAGGCCUUCGGGUUGUAAAGUACUUUCAGCGAGGAGGAAGGCAUUAAGGUUAAUAACCUUAGUGAUUGACGUUACUCGCAGAAGAAGCACCGGCUAACUCCGUGCCAGCAGCCGCGGUAAUACGGAGGGUGCAAGCGUUAAUCGGAAUUACUGGGCGUAAAGCGCACGCAGGCGGUUUGUUAAGUCAGAUGUGAAAUCCCCGGGCUCAACCUGGGAACUGCAUUUGAAACUGGCAAGCUUGAGUCUUGUAGAGGGGGGUAGAAUUCCAGGUGUAGCGGUGAAAUGCGUAGAGAUCUGGAGGAAUACCGGUGGCGAAGGCGGCCCCCUGGACAAAGACUGACGCUCAGGUGCGAAAGCGUGGGGAGCAAACAGGAUUAGAUACCCUG